AGUGAACGCUGGCGGUAGGCCUAACACAUGCGAGUCGAACGGCAGCACAGUAAGAGCUUGCUCUUACGGGUGGCGAGUGGCGGACGGGUGAGGAAUACAUCGGAAUCUACUUUUUCGUGGGGGAUAACGUAGGGAAACUUACGCUAAUACCGCAUACGACCUACGGGUGAAAGCAGGGGAUCUUCGGACCUUGCGCGAUUGAAUGAGCCGAUGUCGGAUUAGCUAGUUGGCGGGGUAAAGGCCCACCAAGGCGACGAUCCGUAGCUGGUCUGAGAGGAUGAUCAGCCACACUGGAACUGGGCCACGGUCCAGACUCCUACGGGAGGCAGCAGUGGGGAAUAUUGGACAAUGGGCGCAAGCCUGAUCCAGCCAUACCGCGUGGGUGAAGAAGGCCUUCGGGUUGUAAAGCCCUUUUGUUGGGAAAGAAAAGCAGCAGGUUAAUACCCCGCUGUUCUGACGGUACCCAAAGAAUAAGCACCGGCUAACUUCGUG
This 492-nucleotide ribosomal RNA is filed under the name uncultured bacterium. RNAcentral's name for it is "partial 16S ribosomal RNA". It matches the Rfam family "Bacterial small subunit ribosomal RNA", at positions 29 to 507 of the family's 1533-position model. The record is from RNAcentral.